UACGGAGGGUGCGAGCGUUAAUCGGAAUUACUGGGCGUAAAGCGUGCGCAGGCGGCUUGUUAAGUCUGAUGUGAAAGCCCGGGGCUCAACCUGAGAACGGCAUUUGAAACUGACUAGCUAGAGUGCAGUAGAGGAUGGUGGAAUUCCCGGUGUAGCGGUGAAAUGCGUAGAGAUCGGGAGGAACACCGGUGGCGAAGGCGGCUGCCUGGACUGAAACUGACGCUGAGGGGCGAAAGCGUGGGGAGCAAACAGG
Molecule: ribosomal RNA, 253 nt
Filed under: uncultured bacterium
Lineage: Bacteria
Description: partial 16S ribosomal RNA
Rfam family: Bacterial small subunit ribosomal RNA
Source: RNAcentral